Molecule: long non-coding RNA, 602 nt
Organism: Pantherophis guttatus
Lineage: Eukaryota; Metazoa; Chordata; Lepidosauria; Squamata; Colubridae
Source: RefSeq, a predicted model, not a curated record
AAAUUGGAAGAGCAAGUUUCUUGCUGACUUCAGAGAGAGAAGCCAGUCUUUGUUCUUCCUCCCUACCAAGACUUUCCCGCGUCUUCCCCCAAAAAAACAAAAUGAAAGUUUUCUUCCUCCUGAUCAUCUUCUCUAUCGUGCUGGCUACAUGUCAAGGAUACUGUAUGACGACUCUUAUGCUCCCUAAGUAUAAAGAUGGCAAAGUGGUGCCGCAUACCACGUGUCCUGGUAAUGGGAAAAAUCAUCUCGUAGGCUCCGUCUGGUACUCAGGGCAUGGCUUGCGUUGUGAGUGCAAACCGAAUGAAUGGAUGUGUUGCGAAACGUCGGAUGCAACAGUGGAAUCUAUGACACUGCCUCCCAACCUUUAGGGCACCAGGGACCGGAGAGAGGUUUUUCCGUGAACCUGAAGAGAUAUGGUGCUGUCGCCCAUCAUCUGGGAUGCAUCACAGUGGAAAAUCCAGAAUUAUGUCAAUAUGAUUUCGAGAACAUCCACGAUACAUUACAGCGCUGUUAAGCUUGUUAGAUUCUCCUCUCUUCAUACGAGUGAAUUUGAAUCAACCUUUUAUGUUUAAGUGAACCUGAAUAAAUCCCUCCUCUCUAUA